GACAGAGGGUGCGAACGUUGUUCGGAAUUACUGGGCGUAAAGCGCGUGUAGGCGGUUUGGUAAGUCGGAUGUGAAAGCCCCGGGCUCAACCCGGGAAGUGCACUCGAUACUGCCAAGCUAGAGUAUCGGAGAGGUUGGUGGAAUUCUCGGUGUAGAGGUGAAAUUCGUAGAUAUCGAGAGGAACACCGGCGGCGAAGGCGGCCAACUGGACGAAUACUGACGCUGAGACUCGAAAGCGUGGGGAGCAAACAGG
RNAcentral lists this ribosomal RNA (253 nucleotides) under uncultured bacterium. RNAcentral's name for it is "partial 16S ribosomal RNA". It matches the Rfam family "Bacterial small subunit ribosomal RNA", at positions 524 to 776 of the family's 1533-position model. The record is from RNAcentral.